Molecule: ribosomal RNA, 497 nt
Filed under: uncultured bacterium
Lineage: Bacteria
Description: partial 16S ribosomal RNA
Rfam family: Bacterial small subunit ribosomal RNA
Source: RNAcentral
GACGAACGCUGGCGGCGUGCCUAAUACAUGCAAGUAGAACGCUGAAGAGAGGAGCUUGCUCUUCUUGGAUGAGUUGCGAACGGGUGAGUAACGCGUAGGUAACCUGCCUUGUAGCGGGGGAUAACUAUUGGAAACGAUAGCUAAUACCGCAUAACAAUGGAUGACACAUGUCAUUUAUUUGAAAGGGGCAAGUGCGCCACUACAAGAUGGACCUGCGUUGUAUUAGCUAGUAGGUGAGGUAAUGGCUCACCUAGGCGACGAUACAUAGCCGACCUGAGAGGGUGAUCGGCCACACUGGGACUGAGACACGGCCCAGACUCCUACGGGAGGCAGCAGUCGGGACUCUUCGGCCCUGGGGGCCCCCCUGCCCGCGCCCCGCCGCGUGCGUGCCGACGGUUUUCGGAUCGUAAAGCUCUGUUGUAAGUCAAGAACGGGUGUGAGCGUGGCACGUUCCCACUGUGCCGGUCGCUUCCCCGACAGGGACGGCUCCCUACGUG